RNAcentral lists this ribosomal RNA (402 nucleotides) under uncultured bacterium. RNAcentral describes it as "bacterial SSU rRNA". It matches the Rfam family "Bacterial small subunit ribosomal RNA", at positions 355 to 774 of the family's 1533-position model. The record is from RNAcentral.
UGGGGAAUAUUGGACAAUGGGCGAAAGCCUGACCCAGCAACGCCGCGUGAGGGAUGAAGUAUUUCGGUAUGUAAACCUCGAAAGAAUGGGAAGAAUAAAUGACGGUACCAUUUAUAAGCUCCGGCUAACUACGUGCCAGCAGCCGCGGUAAUACGUAGGGAGCAAGCGUUGUUCGGAUUUACUGGGCGUAAAGGGCGCGUAGGCGGCGCGGUAAGUCACUUGUGAAAUCUCUGAGCUUAACUCAGAACGGCCAAGUGAUACUGCUGUGCUAGAGUGCGGAAGAGGCAACCGGAAUUCUUGGUGUAGCGGUGAAAUGCGUAGAUAUCAAGAGGAGCACCUGAGGCGAAGGCGGGUUGCUGGGCCGACACUGACGCUGAUGCGCGAAAGCCAGGGGAGCAAACG